CCUACGGGAGGCAGCAGUGAGGAAUAUUGGUCAAUGGGCGCAAGCCUGAACCAGCCACGUAGCGUGAAGGAUGACUGCCCUACGGGUGGUAAACUUCUUUUAUAAAGGCAUAAAGUGAGGCACGUGUGCCUUUUUGUAUGUCCUUUAUGAAUAAGGAUCGGCUAACUCCGUGCCAGCAGCCGCGGUAAGACGGAGGAUCCGAGCGUUAUCCGGAUUGAUUGGGUUUAAAGGGAGCGUAGAUGGGUUGUUAAGUCAGUUGUGAAAGUUUGCGGCUCAACCGUAAAAUUGCAAUUGAUACUGGCAGUCUUGAGUACAGUUGAGGUAGGCGGAAUUCGUGGUGUAGCGGUGAAAGGCUUAGAUAUCACGAAGAACUCCGAUUGCGAAGGCAGCUUACUAAACUGCCACUGACAUUGAUGCUCGAAAGUGUGGGUAUCAAACAGGAUUAGAUACCCGUGUAGUC
This 460-nucleotide ribosomal RNA is filed under the name uncultured bacterium. Its description in RNAcentral is "partial 16S ribosomal RNA". It matches the Rfam family "Bacterial small subunit ribosomal RNA", at positions 338 to 795 of the family's 1533-position model. The record is from RNAcentral.